This 148-nucleotide non-coding RNA is filed under the name Chlorocebus sabaeus (green monkey). The record is from Rfam by way of RNAcentral. Lineage: Eukaryota; Metazoa; Chordata; Mammalia; Primates; Cercopithecidae.
GCCAGGCGUGGUGGCGCACGCCUGUAAUCCCAGCUACUCAGGAGGCUGAGGCAGGAGAAUUGCUUGAACCCAGGAGGCAGAGGUUGCAGUGAGCCAAGAUCGUGCCAGUGCACUCCAGCCUGGGUGACACAGUGAGACUCUGUUUCAA